AGUGAACGCUGGCGGUAGGCCUAACACAUGCAAGUCGAACGGCAGCACAGUAAGAGCUUGCUCUUACGGGUGGCGAGUGGCGGGCGGGUGAGGAAUACAUCGGAAUCUACUUUUUCGUGGGGGAUAACGUAGGGAAACUUACGCUAAUACCGCAUACGACCUACGGGUGAAAGCAGGGGAUCUUCGGACCUUGCGCGAUUGAAUGAGCCGAUGUCGGAUUAGCUAGUUGGCGGGGUAAAGGCCCACCAAGGCGACGAUCCGUAGCUGGUCUGAGAGGAUGAUCAGCCACACUGGAACUGAGACACGGUCCAGACUCCUACGGGAGGCAGCAGUAGGGAAUAUUCGACAAAGGGCGCAAGCCUGAUCCAGCCAUACCGCGUGGGUGAAGAAGGUCUUCGGGUUGUAAAGCCCUGUUGUUGGGAAAGAAAAAAAGUAGAUGAAUACCUCGCUGUUCUGACGGUACCCAAAGAAAAAGCACCGGCUAACUUCGUG
This 492-nucleotide ribosomal RNA is filed under the name uncultured bacterium. RNAcentral describes it as "partial 16S ribosomal RNA". It matches the Rfam family "Bacterial small subunit ribosomal RNA", at positions 29 to 507 of the family's 1533-position model. The record is from RNAcentral.